Molecule: ribosomal RNA, 208 nt
Filed under: uncultured bacterium
Lineage: Bacteria
Description: partial 16S ribosomal RNA
Rfam family: Bacterial small subunit ribosomal RNA
Source: RNAcentral
ACGCUCGACACCUACGGGGAGGCAGCAGGUGGGGGAUAUUGCACAAGUGGGGGGAAACCCUGAUGCAGCAACGCCGCGUGAAGGAAGAAGGUCUUCGGAUUGUAAACUUCUGUCCUCAGGGAAGAUAAUGACGGUACCUGAGGAGGAAGCUCCGGCUAACUACGUGCCAGCAGCUGGACGGUAAUCUGAGGCGGGCGUGGACGAAGGC